Molecule: ribosomal RNA, 386 nt
Filed under: uncultured eukaryote
Lineage: Eukaryota
Description: partial 18S ribosomal RNA
Rfam family: Eukaryotic small subunit ribosomal RNA
Source: RNAcentral
CAAUAGCGUAUAUUAAAGUUGUUGCAGUUAAAAAGCUCGUAGUUGGAUUUCUGGACGGAGCAGCCGGUCCGCCGCUGUGCGGUGUGUACUCGUGCUUGACUCGGUUCAUCCUUGUGGGGAAGCGCAUUUCGGCAUUCAGUUGUCGAGGCGGGGAACCACAUCAUUUACUGUGAAAAAAUUAGAGUGUUUAAAGCAGGCAUUUUGCUGUGAAUACAUUAGCAUGGAAUAAUAACAUAGGACUCUGAUUCUAUUUUGUUGGUUGGAGAUCAAGGUAAUGAUUAAUAGGGAUAGUUGGGGGUAUUCAUAUUUAAUUGUCAGAGGUGAAAUUCUUGGAUUUAUGAAAGAUGAACUCAUGCGAAAGCAUUUACCAAGGAUGUUUUCAUUAA